This 722-nucleotide ribosomal RNA is filed under the name Brevibacterium ravenspurgense. RNAcentral's name for it is "bacterial SSU rRNA". It matches the Rfam family "Bacterial small subunit ribosomal RNA", at positions 49 to 779 of the family's 1533-position model. Lineage: Bacteria; Bacillati; Actinomycetota; Actinomycetes; Micrococcales; Brevibacteriaceae. The record is from RNAcentral.
CUACACAUGCAGUCGAACGCUGAAGCUUGGUGCUUGCACUGGGUGGAUGAGUGGCGAACGGGUGAGUAUCACGUGAGUAACCUGCCCCUGACUUCGGGAUAAGCCUGGGAAACUGGGUCUAAUACCGGAUAUGACCAUCUUUCGCAUGUUGGGUGGUGGAAAGUUUUUUCGGUUGGGGAUGGGCUCGCGGCCUAUCAGUUUGUUGGUGGGGUAAUGGCCUACCAAGACGACGACGGGUAGCCGGCCUGAGAGGGCGACCGGCCACACUGGGACUGAGACACGGCCCAGACUCCUACGGGAGGCAGCAGUGGGGAAUAUUGCACAAUGGGGGGAACCCUGAUGCAGCGACGCCGCGUGGGGGAUGACGGCCUUCGGGUUGUAAACCUCUUUCAGUAGGGAAGAAGCCUUUGGGUGACGGUACCUGCAGAAGAAGUACCGGCUAACUACGUGCCAGCAGCCGCGGUAAUACGUAGGGUACAAGCGUUGUCCGGAAUUAUUGGGCGUAAAGAGCUCGUAGGUGGUUUGUCGCGUCUGCUGUGGAAUCGUGCCGCUUAACGGUGCGCGUGCAGUGGGUACGGGCAGACUGGAGUGCAGUAGGGGAGUCUGGAAUUCCUGGUGUAGCGGUGAAAUGCGCAGAUAUCAGGAGGAACACCGGUGGCGAAGGCGGGACUCUGGGCUGUUACUGACGCUGAGGAGCGAAAGCAUGGGGAGCGAACAGGUUA